UUUAACUGAGCGUUCAGUUACUUGACGUAGACCCGAAACCGGGCGACCUACCCAUGAGCAGGAUGAAGCGAAAGUAAAAUUUCGUGGAGGUCCGAACCCACGAGCGUUGAAAAGCUCGGGGAUGACUUGUGGGUAGCGGUGAAAUUCCAAUCGAGCCCGGAGAUAGCUGGUUCUCCCCGAAAUAGCUUUAGGGCUAGCCUCAAGGUGAGAGAUACGGAGGUAGAGCACUGAAUGUCCUAGGGGGUAUUGCACCUACCGAAGACUAUCAAACUCCGAAUGCCGUCAUCUUAUACUUGGGAGUCAGACUGUGGGUGAUAAGAUUCAUAGUCGAAAGGGCAACAGCCCAGAUCGUCAGCUAAGGUCCCUAAAUGUAAGUUAAGUGGUAAAGGAUGUGGGAUUGCACAGACAACCAGGAUGUUGGCUUAGAAGCAGCCACUCAUUCAAAGAGUGCGUAAUAGCUCACUGGUCGAGUGAUCCUGCGCCGAAGAUUUCCGGGGCUAAAACUUACUACCGAAGCUACGGCAUCAUUAUGAUGGGUAGGGGAGCUUCCCAUACGGGUUGAAGCAUGACCGUAAGGACAUGUGGACAGUAUGGGAGUGAGAAUGUUGGCAUGAGUAGCGAGAUGUGGGUGAGAAUCCCACAGGCCGUAAACCCAAGGUUUCCAGGGGAAGGUUCGUCCGCCCUGGGUUAGUCGGGACCUAAGCUGAGGCCGAAAGGCGUAGGUGAUGGACAACAGGUUGAUAUUCCUGUACUACCGAUAACCGUUUGAGAGAUGGGAUGACACAGUAGGAUAAGCUAAGCACACUGUUGGUUAUGUGUGCCCAAGCAUUGAGGCAGUCAAAGUAGGCAAAUCCGCUUUGAUAAUGCUGGGAUGUGAUGGGUAGCGAAAUUUAGUAGCGAAGUAGCUGAUUUCACACUGUCAAGAAAAGUCUCUAUCGAGGUUAAAGGUACCCGUACCGCAAACCGACACAGGUGGGUGAGGAGAGUAUCCUAAGGCCAGCGAGAGAACUGUUGUUAAGGAACUCGGCAAAAUGACCCCGUAACUUAGGGAUAAGGGGUGCCACCAUCAGGUGGCCGCAGAGAAUAGGCCCAAGCGACUGUUUACCAAAAACAUAGGUUUCUGCUAAGUCGCAAGACGAUGUAUAGGAGCUGACGCCUGCCCGGUGCUGGAAGGUUAAGGGGAUCUGUUAGAG
This 1193-nucleotide ribosomal RNA is filed under the name Clostridioides difficile. RNAcentral's name for it is "partial 23S ribosomal RNA". It matches the Rfam family "Bacterial large subunit ribosomal RNA", at positions 683 to 1895 of the family's 2925-position model. The record is from RNAcentral. Lineage: Bacteria; Bacillati; Bacillota; Clostridia; Peptostreptococcales; Peptostreptococcaceae.